AAUGAACGUUGGCGGCGUGGAUUAGGCAUGCAAGUCGUGCGCGAACUGUAGCAAUACAGGGAAAGCGGCGUAAGGGAGAGUAAUACGUAGGUAUCUACCCAUGGGUCUGGGAUAGCGGCGGGAAACUGCCGGUAAUACCAGAUAACGUCUCCGGACCAAAGGUGUGAUUCCACCUGUGGAGGAGCCUACGGCCUAUUAGCUAGUUGGCAGGGUAACGGCCUACCAAGGCUUGGAUGGGUACGGGGUGUGAGAGCAUGCCCCCGCUCACUGGGACUGAGACACUGCCCAGACACCUACGGGUGGCUGCAGUCGAGAAUCUUCGGCAAUGGGCGCAAGCCUGACCGAGCGACGCCGCGUGCGGGAUGAAGGCC
Molecule: ribosomal RNA, 371 nt
Filed under: uncultured bacterium
Lineage: Bacteria
Description: bacterial SSU rRNA
Rfam family: Bacterial small subunit ribosomal RNA
Source: RNAcentral